GAUGAAGAACGUAGCGAAAUGCGAUAAGUAGUGUGAAUUGCAGAAUUCAGUGAAUCAUCGAAUCUUUGAACGCACAUUGCGCCUCUUGGUACUCCAUGGGGCAUGCCUGUUCGAGCGUCAUUUGUACCUUCAAGCUUUGCUUGGUGUUGGGUGUUUGUCUCGCCUUUGCGUGUAGACUCGCCUUAAAAUAAUUGGCAGCCGGCGUAUUGAUUUCGGAGCGCAGUACAUCUCGCGCUUUGCACUCAUAACGACAGCGUCCAAAAGUACAUUUUACACUCUUGACCUCGGAUCAGGUAGGGAUACCCGCUGAACUUAAGCAUAUCAAUAAGCGGAGGA
Molecule: unclassified non-coding RNA, 336 nt
Filed under: soil metagenome
Description: partial contains 5.8S ribosomal RNA, internal transcribed spacer 2, and large subunit ribosomal RNA
Rfam family: 5.8S ribosomal RNA (bases 1-120)
Source: RNAcentral